GUGCUUGCUUCAGCAGCACAUAAGUGUACUAAAACUGGAACGAAAUAGAGAAGAUUCACAUGGCCCCUGUGCAAAGAUGACACACAUAUUUGUGAAGCAUUCCAUAUUUAA
RNAcentral lists this small nuclear RNA (111 nucleotides) under Salvator merianae (Argentine black and white tegu). Lineage: Eukaryota; Metazoa; Chordata; Lepidosauria; Squamata; Teiidae. The record is from RNAcentral.